This 237-nucleotide ribosomal RNA is filed under the name uncultured bacterium. Its description in RNAcentral is "partial 16S ribosomal RNA". It matches the Rfam family "Bacterial small subunit ribosomal RNA", at positions 104 to 334 of the family's 1533-position model. The record is from RNAcentral.
CGGGACGGGGUGGAGUAAUGUCUGGGAAACUAGCCUGAUGGAGGGGGAUAACUACUGGAAACGGUAGCUAAUACCGCAUAACGUCGCAAGACCGAAGAGGGGGACCGUUCGGGCCUCUUGCCAUCGGAUGUGCCCAGAUGGGAUUAGCUAGUAGGUGGGGUAACGGCUCACCUAGGCGACGAUCCCUAGCUGGUCUGAGAGGAUGACCAGCCACACUGGAACUGAGACACGGUCCAG